UACGAAGGGGGCUAGCGUUGCUCGGAAUCACUGGGCGUAAAGCGCACGUAGGCGGGUUGUUAAGUCAGGGGUGAAAUCCUGGAGCUCAACUCCAGAACUGCCUCUGAUACUGGCAAUCUUUGAGUCCGGGAGAGGUGGGUGGAACUGCGAGUGUAGAGGUGAAAUUCGUAGAUAUUCGCAAGAACACCAGUGGCGAAGGCGGCUCACUGGCCCGGUACUGACGCUGAGGUGCGAAAGCGUGGGGAGCAAACAGG
This 254-nucleotide ribosomal RNA is filed under the name uncultured bacterium. RNAcentral describes it as "partial 16S ribosomal RNA". It matches the Rfam family "Bacterial small subunit ribosomal RNA", at positions 524 to 776 of the family's 1533-position model. The record is from RNAcentral.